Non-coding RNA from Camellia sinensis, 320 nucleotides. Lineage: Eukaryota; Viridiplantae; Streptophyta; Magnoliopsida; Ericales; Theaceae. The record is from RefSeq and is a predicted model, not a curated record.
AGGCCCGAUGACUCCGAUGUCCUGGUCAACCUUGCUUGUGGCAGUCUUUCAGGGAUAGCAUCAUCUACAGAUAUUUCCAGAGUAGAAGUUUGCUUCUUGCGGAUUUCAUGCCUGUGAAGAAUGCGACUAAUUUUUGUUUUUGUACCACGGAGAAUGCUGAGGAAAACUUUUAAUUUUGAUUUAUGUUAUUUUCAAUUAUGAAUAAUAUUAUGUAUUUAAACAUUAUAUAUGUAUUAUGGAACAUUAUGUACUCGGUUAAUUUUGUUGAUAUAUAGUUAUGAAUGCAAGAAUAUGUUUAUUAUGGAGAAAUUAUUAUUUCU